This 491-nucleotide ribosomal RNA is filed under the name uncultured bacterium. RNAcentral describes it as "partial 16S ribosomal RNA". It matches the Rfam family "Bacterial small subunit ribosomal RNA", at positions 29 to 506 of the family's 1533-position model. The record is from RNAcentral.
AGUGAACGCUGGCGGUAGGCCUAACACAUGCAAGUCGAACGGCAGCACAGUAAGAGCUUGCUCUUACGGGUGGCGAGUGGCGGACGGGUGAGGAAUACAUCGGAAUCUACUUUUUCGUGGGGGAUAACGUAGGGAAACUUACGCUAAUACCGCAUACGACCUACGGGUGGAAGCAGGGGAUCUUCGGACCUUGCGCGAUUGAAUGAGCCGAUGUCGGAUUAGCUAGUUGGCGGGGUAAAGGCCCACCAAGGCGACGAUCCGUAGCUGGUCUGAGAGGAUGAUCAGCCAAACUGGAACUGAGACACGGUCCAGACUCCUACGGGAGGCAGCAGUGGGGAAUAUUGGACAAGGGGCGCAAGCCUGAUCCAGCCAUACCGCGUGGGUGAAGAAGGCCUUCGGGUUGUAAAGCCCUUUUGUUGGGAAAGAAAAGCAGCAGGUUAAUACCCCGCUGUUCUGACGGUACCCAAAGAAUAAGCACCGGCUAACUUCGU